CAGAAAAUAGUUUAAUUAAAAUACUAGCUUUGGGAGUUGGAGAUGGGAGGAUUUUCUUUUCUGG
This 64-nucleotide transfer RNA is filed under the name Stygiocaris lancifera. RNAcentral's name for it is "tRNA-Pro". Lineage: Eukaryota; Metazoa; Arthropoda; Malacostraca; Decapoda; Atyidae. The record is from RNAcentral.